AGCUGUGUGAUAUUCUGUCUUAGGGACCCGCUUUCAUACACCGACUCGUUUCCUACUGCUGGGGGUUCCGGCCGCUUCAAGACCUGAACAUGUUGGCAUCUAUAUGGUAACCUUCUGGGAGCGGGGGACCACCAGGUUGCCUAAAAAGGGGUGAACCGGCCCAGGUCAGAAACGGAGCAGGUCAAAACUCCCGUGUUGAUCAGUAGUGGGAUCGCACCUGUGAAUAGCCACUGCACUCCAGCCUGGGCAACAUAGCGACACCUGUGUUUU
This 270-nucleotide signal recognition particle RNA is filed under the name Saimiri boliviensis boliviensis (Bolivian squirrel monkey). RNAcentral describes it as "Metazoan signal recognition particle RNA (ENSSBOG00000006438.1)". The stretch from base 81 to 215 matches the Rfam family "Metazoan signal recognition particle RNA", at positions 108 to 243 of the family's 299-position model. Rfam says of the family: The signal recognition particle (SRP) is a universally conserved ribonucleoprotein. It is involved in the co-translational targeting of proteins to membranes. Lineage: Eukaryota; Metazoa; Chordata; Mammalia; Primates; Cebidae. The record is from RNAcentral.